UACGUAGGGUGCAAGCGUUAAUCGGAAUUACUGGGCGUAAAGCGUGCGCAGGCGGCUAUGCAAGACAGAUGUGAAAUCCCCGGGCUCAACCUGGGAACUGCAUUUGUGACUGCAUGGCUAGAGUACGGUAGAGGGGGAUGGAAUUCCGCGUGUAGCAGUGAAAUGCGUAGAUAUGCGGAGGAACACCGAUGGCGAAGGCAAUCCCCUGGACCUGUACUGACGCUCAUGCACGGAAGCGUGGGGAGCAAACAGG
Molecule: ribosomal RNA, 253 nt
Filed under: uncultured bacterium
Lineage: Bacteria
Description: partial 16S ribosomal RNA
Rfam family: Bacterial small subunit ribosomal RNA
Source: RNAcentral